RNAcentral lists this ribosomal RNA (481 nucleotides) under Cemophora coccinea (scarlet snake). RNAcentral describes it as "partial 16S ribosomal RNA". It matches the Rfam family "Bacterial large subunit ribosomal RNA", at positions 1809 to 2608 of the family's 2925-position model. Lineage: Eukaryota; Metazoa; Chordata; Lepidosauria; Squamata; Colubridae. The record is from RNAcentral.
AAAAACAUAACCUUUAGCCAAACAAAUAUUAAAGGCAACGCCUGCCCAGUGAAUAAUUAAACGGCCGCGGUACCCUAACCGUGCAAAGGUAGCGUAAUCAUUUGUCUACUAAUUAUAGACCUGUAUGAAAGGCAAAAUGAGGGUUUAACUGUCUCUUAUAAUAAAUCAAUUAAACUGAUCUCCUAGUAAAAAAGCUAGGAUAAUAACAUAAGACCAGAAGACCCUGUGAAGCUUAAAUCAAACUAUUAAACCAUAUAAUAACUACUUUCGGUUGGGGCGACCUUGGAAAAAAAAAGAACUUCCAAGACCCAGCACAGCUGAUAAUUGAACCAAGUUACUCCAGGGAUAACAGCGCAAUCUUCUUCAAGAGCCCAUAUCAAAAAGAAGGUUUACGACCUCGAUGUUGGAUCAGGACAUCCUAAUGGUGCAGCCGCUAUUAAGGGUUCGUUUGUUCAACGAUUAACAGUCCUACGUGAUCUGA